AGAAGAAUCUGCUCAGUGUUCCG
RNAcentral lists this non-coding RNA (23 nucleotides) under Arabidopsis thaliana (thale cress). Lineage: Eukaryota; Viridiplantae; Streptophyta; Magnoliopsida; Brassicales; Brassicaceae. The record is from RNAcentral.